AUGAAUUAAGAGGGACUCGAUGCUGGCCAUUCUUUUUUGACUGUGCACGCUCUGUCGUUCUUCAUUUCUCCAUCUAUUUGUGCACCUCUUGUGGUAGACCUUCUGAGGGCUCUUGGAAGCCCUCAGGUCAUUGGGGACUGCUUUGCAAAAAACAUAUUUGUGGGGCUUUCCUUGACUACUUUCACAUACACUCCAGUUGUUAAUAUUCAGAAGGAUACAAAUGUUAUAUAUGAAAUA
This 237-nucleotide unclassified non-coding RNA is filed under the name uncultured Agaricales. Its description in RNAcentral is "sequence contains ITS1". Lineage: Eukaryota; Fungi; Basidiomycota; Agaricomycetes; Agaricales. The record is from RNAcentral.